This 252-nucleotide ribosomal RNA is filed under the name uncultured bacterium. RNAcentral describes it as "partial 16S ribosomal RNA". It matches the Rfam family "Bacterial small subunit ribosomal RNA", at positions 524 to 776 of the family's 1533-position model. The record is from RNAcentral.
UACGUAGGGACCAAGCGUUGUUCGGAUUUACUGGGCUUAAAGGCGCGUAGGCGGGCUGCCAAGUCUGGGGUGAAAUCCCACGGCUCAACCGUGGAACUGCCUCGGAUACUGGCGGCCUCGAGGGAGGUAGGGGCGUGCGGAACUGUGGGUGGAGCGGUGAAAUGCGUUGAUAUCCACAGGAACUCCGGUGGCGAAGGCGGCACGCUGGACUUUUUCUGACGCUGAGGCGCGAAAGCCAGGGGAGCAAACGGG